UAGGGAAUCUUCGGCAAUGGACGGAAGUCUGACCGAGCAACGCCGCGUGAGUGAAGAAGGUUUUCGGAUCGUAAAGCUCUGUUGUAAGAGAAGAACGAGUGUGAGAGUGGAAAGUUCACACUGUGACGGUAUCUUACCAGAAAGGGACGGCUAACUACGUGCCAGCAGCCGCGGUAAUACGUAGGUCCCGAGCGUUGUCCGGAUUUAUUGGGCGUAAAGCGAGCGCAGGCGGUUAGAUAAGUCUGAAGUUAAAGGCUGUGGCUUAACCAUAGUACGCUUUGGAAACUGUUUAACUUGAGUGCAAGAGGGGAGAGUGGAAUUCCACGUGUAGCGGUGAAAUGCGUAGAUAUAUGGAGGAACACCGGUGGCGAAAGCGGCUCUCUGGCUUGUAACUGACGCUGAGGCUCGAAAGCGUGGGGAGCAAACAGGAUUAGAUACCCUGGUAGUCCACGCCGUAAACGAUGAGUGCUAGGUGUUAGACCCUUUCCGGGGUUUAGUGNCGCAGCUAACGCAUUAAGCACUCCGCCUGGGGAGUACNACCGCAAGGNUG
RNAcentral lists this ribosomal RNA (550 nucleotides) under uncultured bacterium. RNAcentral's name for it is "bacterial SSU rRNA". It matches the Rfam family "Bacterial small subunit ribosomal RNA", at positions 355 to 896 of the family's 1533-position model. The record is from RNAcentral.